Long non-coding RNA from Zophobas morio, 420 nucleotides. RefSeq lists it as uncharacterized. Lineage: Eukaryota; Metazoa; Arthropoda; Insecta; Coleoptera; Tenebrionidae. The record is from RefSeq and is a predicted model, not a curated record. The transcript has 2 exons.
AUUAGCUGAAACAAACAACAAAUAAGUCGUAUUCCGACUACAAGCAGAAACAGUCGGAUUUAAAGAGGGAAAAGCGUUGACCGAAAACAAAUUCAGAUAAAACACGAAAAAUCUGAUCGAUGGCUUUUCAGCAGCUCAAAGCAAACAGGAUGAGUUUUUGUAAAGCGAAAGCACUUGAAGCUUCGGUACAAGAAAUUGCGACGGGAGUGCUUGCAGGGUUUUAGUGGAGCGAAGGGCGUUUUUGUGAAAAUGUCGCCUGAUGCUUUAAACUACUAAAGCGCAUUAUUGACAUUCCGACAGAUAUUAGUUUUAUUUAUUAUUUGCUCUAUGGGGUACAUCAUCUCCACAGAUUGGCUAAAAUUACUUUGAAACUCUUAUUUAUGUCGGAAAUAAAUUGUCGGAUGAACAGUCCACAGAGUA